GCCAACUUUACAAUCUUAAUUACAUUGAAACUUGCAUUAAAGAACGAUUAGUUUCAAAAUAAUUUAAUAGUUUAUUGCUAUAUAGUUUUAACGAAGAAAUGAGACAUCUGAUAUUAAUUUAGAGGUAUAUUAGAAAAAAUGGAAGUAAAAUUGUAUUAGCUAAAUUUUCUUAAUUCGUGUGAAAAUAAAAGUCAGUCUAUCUUUAUGGGAUGGAUAGAGUAUUAUUCGCAGUGGCAAAUCCAGAAUUGGAACUCAGGUAGGGUGAACAUUGACCAUCGACAAACAACGUCCAUAAUAACAAGGAUGUUUAUUAAUAAUAUUAUAUUAAAUAAUAGUAAAAAUUCUUCAAUCUAUAAGUAAAUGUACUAAAACGUAAAAAAUAUACAUGAAAAUACAAUUUAAUACAAUCCGAAAUAAUUGUAGAAAAAAAAAAUACAAGAUACAAUCUCAAUCUCAAUCUGAUUCCGACUCCUUAAUUUAGUAGUAUAAAUAAAAAUAAUCAAAUCACUCAACUCCUUGUACUAAUUCAAUUAACUGACGAGAAUCUCUCCAUCUUAAUCAAUUAUCUUCGAUCUAUUGAGUUAAAAUCAUUAAUCAAUCCACAUGUUGCUUAUUCUACCAAAUUAGUGCCAAUUCCAAUCCCUAAAUUCUCUCAACCAUCUACAGUGUUGUCUUCGUUCAAUUCACACCGAAUUUGUGCUAACUAAAGAAGUGAUUCUAUCCAAAUUCAAAAUCCCUAAAUAUCACAUACUCCAAUUUCACUUUUAUUCCUAUGGUUAUUUUUCAUAACUUAUAAAAAAUAAAUUAUCUCAUAAAUAAUAAAUCAAGAAUGAAUUAAGUGAACAAAAAUAAAAAAUGAGAGAGAGAGAGAGGCACUCAAAGUCAGUCUAAGACUGGAGAUUGGAGAGGUCGGCGACGACUUGUCGCCAAGCUACAGUAUUGACUUCUGAGUUCGCACUUCACAAAUCGUGGGGAAGAAGGAGAAUUGGAGAAGGGUUUCCCGUCUGCAAUGAUAUGGGUAAUUAGUAAUGGAUUUUCAAUUAAAGAUAUACAUUGGACAUAUAUUCAUGGAUUGGGCCUAAUAUUUUUAAAAAAAAAUAAGAGAGGCCCAUCAUCCCAAACAAAAGGGCCGAAACUGAAAAGGAAAAAGAGAGAGAAAAUAACCCAAUUCAGUCGUCUUCUUCCUUGCUUCUUUC
Molecule: long non-coding RNA, 1196 nt
Filed under: Olea europaea subsp. europaea
Lineage: Eukaryota; Viridiplantae; Streptophyta; Magnoliopsida; Lamiales; Oleaceae
Source: RNAcentral